Long non-coding RNA from Oncorhynchus keta (chum salmon), 538 nucleotides. RefSeq lists it as uncharacterized. NCBI's taxonomy places the organism in Eukaryota, Metazoa, Chordata, Actinopteri, Salmoniformes, Salmonidae. The transcript is spliced from 4 exons. The record is from RefSeq and is a predicted model, not a curated record.
UCAGGAGCCCUGUCCCCGAGGUGGUCAACCAGCCCAGAUAACAGGUCUCAUCUGUCUGUGUUAGUGGAUCAGGAGCCCUGUCCCCGAGGUGGUCAACCAGCCCAGAUAACAGGCCUCAUCUGUCUGUGUUAGUGGAUCAGGAGCCCUGUCCCCGAGGUGGUCAACCAGCCCAGAUAACAGGUCUCAUCUGUCUGUGUUAGUGGAUCAGGAGCCCUGUCCCCGAGGUGGUCAACCAGCCCAGAUAACAGGUCUCAUCUGUCUGUGUUAGUGGAUCAGGAGCCCUGUCCCCGAGGUGGUCAACCAGCCCAGAUAACAGGUCUCAUCUGUCUGUGUUAGUGGAUCAGGAGCCACGGUUCAGGUAAUGUCUGUGGAGUAGGUCUACCGUGAACCAGAUAAACAAGCGCUGCCGGUAACCCGUCUGGUCCUCAAGCAUGAGGGACGUCAACAGAUUAGAUCACCACAGAUCAACCCCAGGAAGUCAAUUGGUCUGCCGGUGUUUAAAGUGCAGCCAAGCUGUGGUGUUGAACCAUACCUUCGC